Molecule: non-coding RNA, 293 nt
Organism: Arachis ipaensis
Lineage: Eukaryota; Viridiplantae; Streptophyta; Magnoliopsida; Fabales; Fabaceae
Source: RefSeq, a predicted model, not a curated record
AUUGCAUCACAAAAUCAUGUUCAUAACUAAAUUAAAAAUUACCUGGAAAUGAGGAAAUCUGUUGCUUUCUCUCAGAGCUCGAAGGACAACGCUUCAACGCUUCAACGCUUCGCUACUGCUUUCUCAGAGGCAGAGCUCGACGGAGGUGACAUGCGAAGUGGCUGAGGGCGUGAGUGCGACGGCGGUGAGUGCGUUGAGGGCCUCCUGGAGUCGUGGGUAACUGGGUGGUGUUCUGUUCUGUGGGAGGCUGGAGUUGAGAACUGAGAAGAUGGAGGAACGAGGAAGUGGAGGCU